This 800-nucleotide ribosomal RNA is filed under the name Weissella paramesenteroides. RNAcentral's name for it is "bacterial SSU rRNA". It matches the Rfam family "Bacterial small subunit ribosomal RNA", at positions 60 to 818 of the family's 1533-position model. Lineage: Bacteria; Bacillati; Bacillota; Bacilli; Lactobacillales; Lactobacillaceae. The record is from RNAcentral.
AGUCGACGCUUUGUCUUUAAUUGAUCUGACGAGCUUGCUCUGAUUUGAUUUUAUCUGACAAAGAGUGGCGAACGGGUGAGUAACACGUGGGUAACCUACCUCUUAGCAGGGGAUAACAUUUGGAAACAAGUGCUAAUACCGUAUAAUACCAACAACCGCAUGGUUGUUGGUUGAAAGAUGGUUCUGCUAUCACUAAGAGAUGGACCCGCGGUGCAUUAGCUAGUUGGUAAGGUAACGGCUUACCAAGGCAAUGAUGCAUAGCCGAGUUGAGAGACUGAUCGGCCACAAUGGGACUGAGACACGGCCCAUACUCCUACGGGAGGCAGCAGUAGGGAAUCUUCCACAAUGGGCGCAAGCCUGAUGGAGCAACGCCGCGUGUGUGAUGAAGGGUUUCGGCUCGUAAAACACUGUUAUAAGAGAAGAACGGCACUGAGAGUAACUGUUCAGUGUGUGACGGUAUCUUACCAGAAAGGAACGGCUAAAUACGUGCCAGCAGCCGCGGUAAUACGUAUGUUCCAAGCGUUAUCCGGAUUUAUUGGGCGUAAAGCGAGCGCAGACGGUUAUUUAAGUCUGAAGUGAAAGCCCUCAGCUCAACUGAGGAAUGGCUUUGGAAACUGGAUGACUUGAGUGCAGUAGAGGAAAGUGGAACUCCAUGUGUAGCGGUGAAAUGCGUAGAUAUAUGGAAGAACACCAGUGGCGAAGGCGGCUUUCUGGACUGUAACUGACGUUGAGGCUCGAAAGUGUGGGUAGCAAACAGGAUUAGAUACCCUGGUAGUCCACACCGUAAACGAUGAGUGCUA